AUGGCCCCGAGCUCAGCGGCGUGGAAGCCAGGCGCCGGCAAGGCCGGGGUCGAGGUCGGUGAGCCUGGCGGUGGCGGUCGGGUGCGCAUCAAGCAGCAUGUCAUCCUCCGUCCAGCAGUACAACUUGGAGAGGUCCAACGAGGUAAGCGCGGGGCAGGUCUGGAGCAGCGGCUCGAGAUCCACGCCGCCGGAGAGAUCGACGUUGCGAAGCUUACCCCGCCAGCAGGGUGCGAGUGCGAGGCUGGCAUGCGUGGAGGGGUCGCGGCAGUAGAUGGCGAGGUCGGACACGGCGGGGAAGUAGAUGGCGAGGCGCGUCGCAACAAGGCGUUCCGCUCGGCGAUUUCUUUCGGGUGGAGCGGGAGGUUGUUGGAGGAGGAGGCGGGCGCCCCCGCGAUUCACGAGGCCAAGGAGAACAGCGGGUGGCCCUACAACGAAACCAGCGAGAGGUUGAGCCGCUCGAGCACCGGGAAGCAGAAGGUCGGCGAGAGCAGCAGGAAGCCAGGCGCCCUCGGUUCCCCGCGCAGCGCCAUCACGACCCGUGUCGCCCGCUCCGCCGCCAGCAGCCUGCGGCACGCCAUCGAGGCCCUGUGCCGUGACCAGGUGUCGCCCAGGAAGCCCAGGAUGAUCCACACAAACUGA
RNAcentral lists this ribosomal RNA (639 nucleotides) under Triticum aestivum (bread wheat). RNAcentral describes it as "partial small subunit ribosomal RNA". The record is from RNAcentral. Lineage: Eukaryota; Viridiplantae; Streptophyta; Magnoliopsida; Poales; Poaceae.